This 250-nucleotide ribosomal RNA is filed under the name uncultured bacterium. RNAcentral describes it as "partial 16S ribosomal RNA". It matches the Rfam family "Bacterial small subunit ribosomal RNA", at positions 524 to 773 of the family's 1533-position model. The record is from RNAcentral.
UACGGAGGGGGCUAGCGUUGUUCGGAAUUACUGGGCGUAAAGCGCACGUAGGCGGAUCAGCAAGUUAGGGGUGAAAUCCCGGGGCUCAACCCCGGAACUGCCCUUAAAACUGUUGGUCUUGAGUUCGAGAGAGGUGAGUGGAAUUCCGAGUGUAGAGGUGAAAUUCGUAGAUAUUCGGAGGAACACCAGUGGCGAAGGCGGCUCACUGGCUCGAUACUGACGCUGAGGUGCGAAAGCGUGGGGAGCAAAC